Molecule: ribosomal RNA, 253 nt
Filed under: uncultured bacterium
Lineage: Bacteria
Description: partial 16S ribosomal RNA
Rfam family: Bacterial small subunit ribosomal RNA
Source: RNAcentral
UACAGAGGUGUCAAACGUUGUCCGGAAUUACUGGGCGUAAAGGGCGCGUAGGCGGUUGAAUAAGUCAGAUGUGAAAUCACCGGGCUCAACCCGGUAAUUGCAUUUGAAACUGUUCGACUUGAGUUGGGUAGAGGAGGGCGGAAUUCCUGGUGUAGCGGUGAAAUGCGUAGAUAUCAGGAGGAACACCUGUGGCGAAGGCGGCUCUCUGGUCCCAUACUGACGCUGAGGCGCGAAAGCUAGGGUAGCAAACAGG